UAUGGGGCGAAAAAUACGAUAAUCAAACUGGAACAAUGUGGAGAAGAUUAGCAUGGCCCCUGUGCAAGGAUUCAUGAAAAGUUCCAUAUUUUU
Molecule: small nuclear RNA, 93 nt
Filed under: Podarcis muralis (Common wall lizard)
Lineage: Eukaryota; Metazoa; Chordata; Lepidosauria; Squamata; Lacertidae
Source: RNAcentral